GGCUCUGCUAAAUUUUCCGUCAGAAAACGCUUAGGUGUUUGGAUAAAGGAAGCUGUUAACUCUUUUGUGGAGCCGCGGCUGUGUUAUGCUGCCUUUACCACCCGGUCGGAGGGGGCCGAUGUAGGUCGAGGCGUUUCCGGUCCGCUUCGGGCUGCACACGGAGUUUGAAUGAAUGGCAUGGAAGGUGCUGUCUGAAUGAGAUACUUUGUCACAGGGGACUGAUUUAGGACCAUCGCCAACAGUUUUCGUGUUAGGGGUCUCCACGGUCUCCAUGAUAGUCCCUGAUGUGGCAACAGCCAUUUGGGACUGCUUUGUGAGGGAGUGCCCACCACAGAGGAGUGGAAGGAAAUCGCCAAGGUGUGAGGAGCGAUGGGAUCUUCCUCUCUGCUGUGGAGCACAAGAUGGAAAGCACAUGGUCAUCAAAGCCCGUGCUAACUCUGGAUCAGAGUUCCACAACUAUAAGAGAACGUACUAAUGGAGGGGAAGCAGGCUUUGGAGAAAAAUCUCACAAUGGAAUGGCGCUGGGGGUGGUGCAGUGGAGACGCUUAAAAUAAUUGAGCAUGUGCUCUUCUCAUCUCCCGUUCCCUCUCUUCCCUAUCAUGGCAGCGCUCCUUUUAUCUGUAUUAAACGGAAACAGCUUAGUUUGUGACACAAAACCAUUUGAUUGCACCGGACUAUUGCGAUAUUAGCCAUUCGAACUGAGGACUCUGCAUCUUUUUGCACAAUUGUUGUUUGUUGUUGUUUUUUGUCAAUGUCUUUAUGUCUCCAAAGUGUUCUGUAAAUUGACUGUCUGUUGUACUAGAGCGGCUCCAACUAUCGGAGACAAAUUCCUUGUGUGUUUUGGACAUACUUGGCAAAUAAAGAUGAUUCUGAUUCUGAUAGGUUGAGAUCUGUUGUGAUAUUUAAAUCACAGCACAGAACAAUUAGAAAAGUAACCCAAAGUAUAGAAUAAAGUACAAGUCACGCCGAAAAGCAUAGGAGUGUUUUAAGUGUACUUGUACCAAGAAUAUCAUGAUAUCCAAAUGUUAUGCAUACUUGGCAGUCUUGAUGGGCUACUCACAAAAGCAGCUGUUUCUUCCGUCACAUGCCCCCCCCUCCACCUAACAUAUUUAACUCAGCUGUGAGAGCAGUGACACUUUAUUAUAAAUCAAACUUUAUACAGCGCUUUUCAUACACGUCUCAAAGUGCUUUCCAUGAAUUACAGAAAUAAAAUCAACCCUGCCCGCUGUUUUGCGCACGCACGCACUUAGCGUAGCUUUCAGAGGGAGAGAGGACAUAGAGACAGUCUGUC
This is a long non-coding RNA of Phyllopteryx taeniolatus (common seadragon), 1291 nucleotides long. RefSeq lists it as uncharacterized. Lineage: Eukaryota; Metazoa; Chordata; Actinopteri; Syngnathiformes; Syngnathidae. The record is from RefSeq and is a predicted model, not a curated record. The transcript has 3 exons.